CCGACCGCGAGGGAGGUUCUGGAGGAAGCGGGGAGCGAAACCGCGAGUCGACGCACAGGAAGCGGAUGAGGCGCUGCGAGUCAGGGCGAGCGGGCCAAAGACCGCGAAGCUCUCGCGACCAAGGACAGACGGCGUAGAUCCGACGAUUGCGCGGAGAAACCCACGACUCUUAC
This is a non-coding RNA of Archangium gephyra, 173 nucleotides long. Lineage: Bacteria; Pseudomonadati; Myxococcota; Myxococcia; Myxococcales; Archangiaceae. The record is from Rfam.